GAUGAACGCUGGCGGCGUGCCUAAUACAUGCAAGUCGAGCGAACAGACGAGGAGCUUGCUCCUCUGACGUUAGCGGCGGACGGGUGAGUAACACGUGGAUAACCUACCUAUAAGACUGGGAUAACUUCGGGAAACCGGAUCUAAUACCGGAUAAUAUAUUUAACCGCAUGGUUCAAUAGUGAAAGACGGUUUUGCUUUCACUUAUAGAUGGAUCCCCGCCGCAUUAGCUAGUUGGUAAGGUAACGGCUUACCAAGGCAACGAUGCGUAGCCGACCUGAGAGGGUGAUCGGCCACACUGGAACUGAGACACGGUCCAGACUCCUACGGGAGGCAGCAGUAGGGAAUCUUCCGCAAUGGGCGAAAGCCUGACGGAGCAACGCCGCGUGAGUGAUGAAGGUCUUCGGAUAGUAAAACUCUGUUAUUAGGGAAGAACAAAUGUGUAAGUAACUAUGCACGUCUUGACGGUACCUAAUCAGAAAGCCACGGCUAACUACGUG
This 497-nucleotide ribosomal RNA is filed under the name uncultured bacterium. RNAcentral's name for it is "partial 16S ribosomal RNA". It matches the Rfam family "Bacterial small subunit ribosomal RNA", at positions 28 to 507 of the family's 1533-position model. The record is from RNAcentral.